GUGCCAGCAGCCGCGGUAAUACGUAGGGUCCAAGCGUUAUCCGGAAUCACUGGGCGUAAAGCGUUUGUAGGCGGAAAUUUAAGUGAGAUGCGAAAUCUUGUGGCUCAACCAUAUAGACGGUAUCUCAUACUGGGUUUCUAGAAGAUAGCAGAGGUAAGUGGAAUUAGUAGUGUAGCGGUAAAAUGCGUAGAUAUUACUAGGAACACCAAUGGCGAAGGCAGCUUACUGGGCUAUAUUUGACGCUGAGAAACGAAAGCGUGGGGAGCGAACAGGAUUAGAUACCCUCGUAGUCC
RNAcentral lists this ribosomal RNA (293 nucleotides) under uncultured bacterium. RNAcentral describes it as "partial 16S ribosomal RNA". It matches the Rfam family "Bacterial small subunit ribosomal RNA", at positions 505 to 796 of the family's 1533-position model. The record is from RNAcentral.